AGGACGAACGCUGGCGGCGUGCUUAACACAUGCAAGUCGAGCGAGGCUCCUCCUUCGGGAGGAUGUCCUAGCGGCGAACGGGUGAGUAACACGUGGGCAACCUGCCCCUAGCACUGGGAUAACCCCGGGAAACCGGGGCUAAUACCGGAUAUCACGUUGGAGGGCAUCCUCUGAUGUUGAAAGGGUUACUGGCUAGGGAUGGGCCCGCGGCCUAUCAGCUUGUUGGUGGGGUAACGGCCUACCAAGGCGACGACGGGUAGCCGGCCUGAGAGGGCGACCGGCCACACUGGGACUGAGACACGGCCCAGACUCCUACGGGAGGCAGCAGUGGGGAAUAUUGCACAAUGGGCGAAAGCCUGAUGCAGCGACGCCGCGUGAGGGAUGACGGCCUUCGGGUUGUAAACCUCUUUCAGCAGGGACGAAGCGAAAGUGACGGUACCUGCAGAAGAAGCACCGGCCAACUACGUGCCAGCAGCCGC
This 479-nucleotide ribosomal RNA is filed under the name uncultured bacterium. Its description in RNAcentral is "SSU rRNA". It matches the Rfam family "Bacterial small subunit ribosomal RNA", at positions 26 to 518 of the family's 1533-position model. The record is from RNAcentral.